CCUACGGGUGGCAGCAGUGAGGAAUAUUGGUCAAUGGGCGGAAGCCUGAACCAGCCAAGCAGCGUGCAGGAGGACGGCUCUGUGAGUUGUAAACUGCUUUUGUACGGGGAUAAACGGACGUACGCGUAUGUGUCUGAACGUACCGUACGAAUAAGGAUCGGCUAACUCCGUGCCAGCAGCCGCGGUAAUACGGAGGAUUCAGGCGUUAUCCGGAUUUAUUGGGUUUAAAGGGGGCGUAGGCGGCCGGAUAAGUUAGAGGUGAAAUCGCGCGGCUCAACUUCGGCCGUGCCUCUGCUACUGUGCGGCUAGAGAGCAGUGGAGGCAGGCGGAAUGCAUGGUGUAGCGGUGAAAUGCUUAGAUAUCACACAGAACCCCGAUUGCGAAGGCAGCUUGCUAAG
RNAcentral lists this ribosomal RNA (398 nucleotides) under uncultured bacterium. Its description in RNAcentral is "partial 16S ribosomal RNA". It matches the Rfam family "Bacterial small subunit ribosomal RNA", at positions 338 to 733 of the family's 1533-position model. The record is from RNAcentral.